Molecule: ribosomal RNA, 669 nt
Filed under: Pediococcus pentosaceus
Lineage: Bacteria; Bacillati; Bacillota; Bacilli; Lactobacillales; Lactobacillaceae
Description: bacterial SSU rRNA
Rfam family: Bacterial small subunit ribosomal RNA
Source: RNAcentral
AUUGAGAUUUUAACACGAAGUGAGUGGCGAACGGGUGAGUAACACGUGGGUAACCUGCCCAGAAGUAGGGGAUAACACCUGGAAACAGAUGCUAAUACCGUAUAACAGAGAAAACCGCAUGGUUUUCUUUUAAAAGAUGGCUCUGCUAUCACUUCUGGAUGGACCCGCGGCGUAUUAGCUAGUUGGUGAGGUAAAGGCUCACCAAGGCAGUGAUACGUAGCCGACCUGAGAGGGUAAUCGGCCACAUUGGGACUGAGACACGGCCCAGACUCCUACGGGAGGCAGCAGUAGGGAAUCUUCCACAAUGGACGCAAGUCUGAUGGAGCAACGCCGCGUGAGUGAAGAAGGGUUUCGGCUCGUAAAGCUCUGUUGUUAAAGAAGAACGUGGGUAAGAGUAACUGUUUACCCAGUGACGGUAUUUAACCAGAAAGCCACGGCUAACUACGUGCCAGCAGCCGCGGUAAUACGUAGGUGGCAAGCGUUAUCCGGAUUUAUUGGGCGUAAAGCGAGCGCAGGCGGUCUUUUAAGUCUAAUGUGAAAGCCUUCGGCUCAACCGAAGAAGUGCAUUGGAAACUGGGAGACUUGAGUGCAGAAGAGGACAGUGGAACUCCAUGUGUAGCGGUGAAAUGAGGGGAUAUAUGGAAGAACACCAGUGGCGAAGGCGGCUGU